AGAAAAUGAUCAAGAUUAGCAAAUAAAUUCUUAUUAUUUUGAGUUUAUAUAAAGGAUCUACAAGAUAGUAAAAUGUAUAGUCAUCACCAUUAGAAGCAACACUAAAGAAAAGUUAUAGUUUUACCAGGUUAAGGGGAUGAUUCACUCACAAGGAGAUUUAGUGUGAAUGCCACUCACGGCUACUUGGGUCGUGACAAACAACUUCUUGAUCUGUGGUCAACUAUGAAGAGAAGAAGGCUACAAUUUCUUAAAUUCAAGAUUAAUCUUUUAUACGUGAAGUAUUUUCAAUUAUAGUCGUCGUUGCUCACAUUCACAUGUAGACUAUAUGUUGUUCAAACAUAAAAAAAAAAGCCAGAUAAUUAUCAAGCUGAAUAUUUGGUAUGACAAUUGUAUUUAUGUAAACUCAGCAUUCAUCAAUUUGAGCUUGUAAUUCCCCCCUUUAAAUUUAAUGUAACUCACUGCAAGCAUAUUUUAAUAUAUUUAUAUCGUCUAAAACGUUUGUACUAA
Long non-coding RNA from Lycium barbarum (goji berry), 507 nucleotides. RefSeq lists it as uncharacterized. The record is from RefSeq and is a predicted model, not a curated record. NCBI's taxonomy places the organism in Eukaryota, Viridiplantae, Streptophyta, Magnoliopsida, Solanales, Solanaceae. The transcript has 2 exons.